RNAcentral lists this long non-coding RNA (273 nucleotides) under Medicago truncatula (barrel medic). RNAcentral's name for it is "long non-coding RNA (MTRU_LNC004753)". The record is from RNAcentral. Lineage: Eukaryota; Viridiplantae; Streptophyta; Magnoliopsida; Fabales; Fabaceae.
AAAAACCUAUUAACCCUUUAUUUAAUAUGGUUUCUAAUCUUCACACAUUCUUUUCCCAUAACUUAUAAUAUAUUAAAAUAGACCUCGAAAUUAUUUGUUUACAACUCAUCAAUUAUACGCUACAUGAUUACCUCACAUUCUCAUUCUCCUUUUCUUUUCUUUUUUUAACUCUUUCUCGCAUUUUCUACUCUCUAUGCCUUUUUUAAUGGAGGAUAAAUAAUAACUACAAAUAUAUUAAGAAAGGAUGAUAAGUUUUGUAACUUAAACUUAGAU